RNAcentral lists this unclassified non-coding RNA (658 nucleotides) under Hevea brasiliensis (rubber tree). Lineage: Eukaryota; Viridiplantae; Streptophyta; Magnoliopsida; Malpighiales; Euphorbiaceae. The record is from RNAcentral.
GCAAACUCUUCAUUUCUUGAACAAAACUUGAAAUUAAUAGACAAAAUAUUAACUUUAAAACCAGAUUCUGCUUAGCAUUAAGAUUCAUUUACAUUGGUGACUCAAUGUUAUAAGCUAGAUUGAGGCUGAUGGUUGAAAAGACAAAGCGUCAAGAGACAAGCCACGAAGAUGUCAACUACUGUGAACAUUUCUGCUCUCUCACAAGCCAACAAAAUCAUCAAAGGCAAUCAUAAAAAGAAAUUAACCGUCACGACCCAGGCCCGCGUGAACUACUGAGCUAACAAGUAAGGCAGGACUGGGCCUAACCACAUGACCCAAAAAUCAAUUCCUAGGUGUAAGAGUUAGUUCAUUAAGGCUCUCAUGCCCAUAUCAAAUCGGGAAGCCCUUAAGUAUUGAAAUCAUUGACAUGCUUGUCGAGGCCAAUAUAUAGCCUAAUAGCCUAGAAACUGGGCCUGCCAUGCAUGUCACAGAUUUCUCUCACUGACUUAGACGAGUUAUUACUAAUUCAGAGGUCAUAAAUAAAAAAUGAUAAAUGACCACUUAACAAUUCAUAGAUCAUUCAACCAAUGACAAGCCUAGAAGAAUUCCACUUAAUAAAAUGCUCACGGAGGAAACCAAUUUUUUUUUUGAAAAAUUUACAAUUUAACCUCUACAUUUU